GGAGAGAUGCUGGAGCUGGUUUAACAGGCCGGUCUUGAAAACCGGUGUACCUUUGCGGGUACCGUGGGUUCGAAUCCCACUCUCUCCGCCA
This 91-nucleotide transfer RNA is filed under the name Candidatus Latescibacterota bacterium. Its description in RNAcentral is "tRNA-Ser". It matches the Rfam family "tRNA". Rfam says of the family: Transfer RNA (tRNA) molecules are approximately 80 nucleotides in length. Their secondary structure includes four short double-helical elements and three loops (D, anti-codon, and T loops). Lineage: Bacteria; Pseudomonadati; Candidatus Latescibacterota. The record is from RNAcentral.